RNAcentral lists this transfer RNA (73 nucleotides) under Felis catus (domestic cat). It matches the Rfam family "tRNA". From Rfam's summary of the family: Transfer RNA (tRNA) molecules are approximately 80 nucleotides in length. Their secondary structure includes four short double-helical elements and three loops (D, anti-codon, and T loops). The record is from Rfam by way of RNAcentral. RNAcentral also lists the same sequence under 2 other names. Lineage: Eukaryota; Metazoa; Chordata; Mammalia; Carnivora; Felidae.
GCCUGGCUGGCUUAGUUGGUAGAGCAUGUGACUCUUGAUCUCAGGGUUAUGAGUUCAAGUUUCACGUUGGUCA